CCCGCCUCCCGCCCGCUCCCGGCUGCGCUGCGGCUGCGGUCCUGGCAGCCGAGGCCCCGCGGCGCUGCAGCUCAGAUCCGGCGCUGACCGACCCGCGCCCUGCCCCGCCGCCCGCACCCCCUGGUCCACGCGGGUCCCCCGGCCUGGGGCCCGCCGCAGCCCGGCCCCUCCGCGUGAGCCCCGCCCCCCUCCGGCCGCCGGUUGCCGCAACUUCGGGGGCGGGUGCGUGAAGGUGCCGCUCGCCCCCCGCACCCGCGCGAGUCCUGGGCCCGGCCCCGCACGCCCCCGGCCCUGGCGGAACUUGCCGGAGCAUCGUCGCAGCCAGGCCGCCCGCUCCUCCCCCGGCGGGGCGGGAGCGAGUCCCCGGGGCCGUCCGCGUGCAGCCCCCACUGGCCGCCGCGCACCUGCUACGCUGCGGGCGCACCCGCGGGCGCCGAAGCCUUCGGUUGAUGUUCCUUACCUGUCCAUGGGGAGCUGCAUCUCUUCCAAUGAUCGCCUGCCUCAUCUGUGGUGUCUGGGCCAGAAGCUAGCUGUCUCUGUGGGGGGUGAGGGGCUGUCUGUGGCGGUGGUGAGCCACCAUGUAUGUGUGUGUGUGUGGGGGGGGGCACUGUCUUUGUGGAGCUGAAGUGUGUCUCUGUAGAGAUGUGUGUAUCUCUUUGUGGCCAAGGUUUCCUGUGGAGGGGGAGGCAGGUAAUUGCCUGUUCAUUUUUGGAAAAGUGAAGUAAUAGCCAGGCUCAGCAAUGUAAACUAACAGUGAUAUAGAUUGUGUCCUUUCUCCUUCCUCCCUGCCCAGAGGGGCAGAAGGAGAGCUCAUCUGUGGUCUUGGCCUUCUGAGAAACCAAUUGAUGCAGACUGAAAUGCCUCGGAGAGGAAUGAGCAUCCUCCGUUCUUGGUUCAUACUGUGUCUGCAUAGCCUUUUGUCCCAAAGGCAAGUUAAAGAGGGGCGACUGGUUAGAACUUGGUGAAUUUGUUUUAAUAUCAUAUUAAGCUAUGGCAUAAUCACAGAAGAGGGGACAGAUCUGGGGACUAUGGAUUUUCACAAACUGAACACACCUGUGUAACCAGUGCCCAGAUUAAGAUCUAGAGUGUUACCAGGUUCCCUAUGUCCUCUGUGGGUACUGUCCCCCAAGGGUAACCAUCAUCCUGCUUAGUUUUGUCAGGCAAGUUUUGUCUUUAUUCCUAUUAUUAUUUAUUUCACCAGUUUUGUUUCAAAGCUAAGAUGAAACUGCUUGAUGAUUUUCUACCUCUUUUUUUAAUAUAUGCAAACCAAAGGUAGUUAUAUGUAAGCCAGUCCAGAAAUCUAGAAGGGAGAAUUUGGUCUUAAGACCUGGGUGGAAUCUAAACUGGUUGUCUCCUCCCCAUCUCCCCAGGAUGUUCUUGGGCAGUGAAACAAGCCAGACCCCAGACACAAUAGGGCUGAUACUGAUAAAUUGAAGCCAGUUUAUUCAUAAAGUGUAUUUGAAAAAUGCAAAUCUGAAAUAGUGUCGUGAUAAAAUGUAAAUUAAAAAAUAUGCAUGAAUUAUCAUUUGAAACAUAAAAAUGGGAAUAUUUUCAAUCUCUCAAAAUUAAAAAUUGGUAGAGGAUGCCAGAAUGUCAAGGCUGAAUGAGUUAUAAACUCUUUGUGCUGUUGCCACAAGGUGGCGCCACCUUGGCUAGACACCCGCAAUACCUGGCAUUCUUUCCCAAGCCCCCAGGAAGGACUCCCAGGAAUAAAAUCCAGCAGCUCGGUAUCUCCA
Molecule: long non-coding RNA, 1736 nt
Filed under: Vulpes vulpes (red fox)
Lineage: Eukaryota; Metazoa; Chordata; Mammalia; Carnivora; Canidae
Description: lncRNA (ENSVVUG00000005715.1)
Source: RNAcentral